GUUGCUCUGCAUCCGUUGUCACAAUUUUUGGAUUCCUAGUCCCAUCAUAUAAAUUUUUCCCUGCCUCCCAGUCUAGGCUUCAUUUUUUAAACAGAAACAGAACCUGAGUAAAUGGACCUCUCACCUCAGAAUAUUUUACAUCUUGUCAUGACACCACAGACCUGCAGGAAUCUCAGUGGAGGGAAGUUUCUGUCCAGAAUUUAAAAGUGUUUACUUUGCUCCUGCUGCUUUUCAUCCCUUUUCUCUCCUCCUGGUGUGUAUUUUCCUGCCCUGCUGACUGUGGUGUUGCAUACUAAUGGAGUAAUACUUGGCCCAUCCCCAGAGGAAGUUGUGUGCAGGUUUAUUGAGGAACAGAGGGGUCAGGAGGAAUUUCAGCGCAUCCAAUAACUCUCCUACUGGUGAGAUGCCUUCAGAUCCCAGGAACUUUGCCAGCUGUUCUCAGCUGUGGUGUGACUUCCCCUGUCAACAUUCUCCCUGCAGGAUAUCCCAUGGUCUGAGGCAAGGAGCCCUUCCUUGGGAAGGGAACUUGAACCCAUCCAGAGCAGGAGCUGAAGGGAGCCCAACAUCUCUCACUUUCCUGGACUUAAGGUAAGCAACUGCUAUUAUAAAGACAGGCUUAAACAAAAAUUACAAAAUUUAGGGCAGACUCCUACUUUCAGGAGAUCACUUAUCUACCAAAGUGAUAAGAAAAUUCCCUCCUCUGGUCCUGAGUGAGCCACUCAAGAGAGGGGUAAAAUACCUGACAUCUCCUCUUGCCACCCAGUUUCUAUCAGGCAAGUAGAUGUGGAAUGGAGGACCAGGGCCCUCACUCUAGGAAACGAGGAUUUGACAACUCAAAUGCUUUUCUUCUCUCAAUUCUGUAAUGUUCUGGGUGUGUGAUUAAACUCUGAGUUGUUGAGUCCUGGUGACUCAGUAUGUGUAUAGUAAAACUAGUUUCCUGUUCCUGGACCUUUUUAAAAAAAUCAGUAUUCAUUUCAGCUUGUGCUGACAGCUGAAACUGUAAAAAAUAUUAAACUAAUAUUUUUAUUUUCAGAGUGUGCUUUGAACAAGCAGCCUUAAUUUAAGUGUUAUUUUAGCAGUUCAUUUCUCAAAAAUAACUAAAUCAUUCUUUCCAAAAUCCAUGUACAAGCUGACUCAUAACAUGAAGCUCCAUUCAAGCCAUGGCAUAGCCACAGUGGAUUUAAUGCCAAAGUAAUUUUCUCAUUUUUCAUGGAGACCAGUCUUAGUGGAAAAAAGAACCAAGAAAGAAAUCUUUUAGAAGUAGCUAACAAUCAGACUAAAAGCAGGGGCAGUCUGGAGAAUGGAUAUUUAUGUCUUUAAUUCUUGAAUGGCUCAUAGAAAAUUCUGUAUUAAUGACAGAAUUUUCUAUUCAAUUACAUGGGGUGAUUUAAAUACAUAAAAAAGUAAUCACAAAACUUCUGUUAGAUUUUGCUUAAAGUAUAGUCAAAAGAGACUGUGAUUUAACUGAGACUAGAAUUUCAGACAUGCUUUAAUAUGUUUUCAGUGUUGCUCCCUGGAGAUUCAUCCUGUACAGAUCAGGUUAUUUAGAGAUUAAGUGCCUGGAAACAAGAGAGAUUACAAUAUGAAAUACAUUCAAAAACUUGGAAUUAAUUUUAUAACUUUUGCUAAGAGAACUGAUAACACACAGCACAACUGGCCCAACAUCUACAGAUCUGCUUGUAAUUACUACUUUCUACUACAAUAGCUUUCUGUUACUACCAUGUGGGUAACCAUUGACUCACAACAGUAGAAAUAUCACUCUGACUCAAUACUACUAAAUGCCAUUUUCAGAAAAGGAAAUACAAGCACUGAAGUGACCAACAAAAUGGAGAAAUUAUGUAGUUUGGUACCUGCUUUAUGCAGUUUGAGGCAAUUUUUACAAAUUCCUUUAAACACUGCAAGUGUGUAAGAUGUAAGCUAAUUUAAACCUGCUUUGCCAUUUUCAUGUUAAGCAAUUGACAUGGUUCUGAUAUAAUCAGUGGUACAAAGGUCCCAAAGUAAAAUACUAAAUAGUCACUACAUAAGGUAUCACUUUAAAAUAGAGUUACACUUGGUAAGAAUCCUAAUUUAUCAAUAAUUAUGUAUCACUAAAGAAUAAGCUGAUAAAGGACUUUCUUUCACACAUUUCUUCCAUCACAGUGCUGAGCCCAUGUGAGCUGUGCCUGCACUAACAGAACUGCAAGACUCAGUGCAGGAGAAGCAAUCAAGGAUGGAGUGACAACAAAAGCACCAGAUGCCACUGAUGCCUCUUCCACACUUCAGUCCCCAGGCAUCACAGCAGAACAAGGAACCCUCCUGACUCCAGGGUUUCCUAGUAAAGACAGAUUUGAAGAGGCACAGCCACUCUCCUAAGAGAUUAAAAAUAAAGUGCUGACAAAUUCUAUUGUCA
This is a long non-coding RNA of Zonotrichia albicollis (white-throated sparrow), 2389 nucleotides long. Lineage: Eukaryota; Metazoa; Chordata; Aves; Passeriformes; Passerellidae. The record is from Ensembl.